UUACGGCCAUAUAACGUUGAAACACCGAUUCCUGUACGAUCAAAGAAGUUAAGCAAGGUCGAGUCUAUUAGUAUCUAUAUGGGUGACCGCUUGGGAAUAUCAGUUGCUGUA
Acanthosepion pharaonis is the source of this 111-nucleotide non-coding RNA. The record is from the annotation of a GenBank genome assembly. NCBI's taxonomy places the organism in Eukaryota, Metazoa, Mollusca, Cephalopoda, Sepiida, Sepiidae.